AGCAUCACCAAGAAAUUCAGAGAAGAUAGUGUUGGCAGCUUGGAGAGGAGACAAAUGAUAAAAUUGGGCCAAAUGAUAAUUUCCCAAUGAUUUGAACCAAUCUUGCAAAGAUCCAGUAGUACGAGAAAUAAACUCUCUUAAUACUUCAUGAGAAUCAGCUCCUUGCCUUAGCAUUUAGACGUCUAUCCAAACUUUGAACUCAGCUAGUCUGCUGCGCCAUUGGGCUGGAGGGAGAUCAUCCAGAGUAAACCAUGGGCCUGAACUGGGCUUUGUAGCCUGUUGAGUAUUUGGAAGAUCAAAAUGGACUUCUUCUGUUUCUUCUUCAAGAAUUUCAACAUUGGGCUGAGCCUGUGGAGGAGGCGGAGGAGAAUUCUCAUGGGCCGUUCCAGAUGGUCCAAUAGCUCCAGUUUUGGAGGCUUCAGAGGGAGUUGUUUGGGGUGGAUCUGCCAUUAGUAAAGCUAUGAUGUCAGCUUGCUCAUCAUCACUGAAAGAGUUUGAGAAAGCUUCACUGUCCUCAGCAGAGGAUUCUUCUAUGGAUUUAGAAGUCGGGAAAACCAUAUGUUGUGGAGGCAAUGGAGGAUCAAGGUACAUUUUUGCUUUACCCUUAUUGAUCUUUCUUCUGGUGUUUGGCAAGGAUUCAUCGGAAGAGGAAAGACUUUGUUCCGGCCUUACAGAGGGAACUGGUAGAGCAGAAAAAGGACUUGGGGAAGACAUGACCUUCUGGAAUAGAGGUGAAGGAUUAUAAGGUGGUGGUUCAGUAUAGCUGUAAUUGAGUGACGGUGUAAAGGCUGAGUAUGGUGAGGCAGGUGUAGGCAAAAAAGCACUUGGGGUAGUCAUGAUGAAAGGACUUUGGGUACUAACAUUGGCAACUGGGUUAUAUGGUUUUGUGGCUUCAGAGAAAACAGGCUUAUGAAGAUCAGCUUCUAUCUGGGCUAUUUGAGACUUUAGUCUUUUAAUUGCUGCUUCCUUA
This 970-nucleotide unclassified non-coding RNA is filed under the name Hevea brasiliensis (rubber tree). The record is from RNAcentral. Lineage: Eukaryota; Viridiplantae; Streptophyta; Magnoliopsida; Malpighiales; Euphorbiaceae.